AUGAACGCUGGCGGCGUGCCUAAUACAUGCAAGUCGAGCGAACGGACGAGAAGCUUGCUUCUCUGAUGUUAGCGGCGGACGGGUGAGUAACACGUGGAUAACCUACCUAUAAGACUGGGAUAACUUCGGGAAACCGGAGCUAAUACCGGAUAAUAUUUUGAACCGCAUGGUUCAAAAGUGAAAGACGGUCUUGCUGUCACUUAUAGAUGGAUCCGCGCUGCAUUAGCUAGUUGGUAAGGUAACGGCUUACCAAGGCAACGAUGCAUAGCCGACCUGAGAGGGUGAUCGGCCACACUGGAACUGAGACACGGUCCAGACGCCUACGGGAGGCAGCAGUAGGGAAUCUUCCGCAAUGGGCGAAAGCCUGACGGAGCAACGCCGCGUGAGUGAUGAAGGUCUUCGGAUCGUAAAACUCUGUUAUUAGGGAAGAACAUAUGUGUAAGUAACUGUGCACAUCUUGACGGUACCUAAUCAGAAAGCCACGGCUAACUACGUG
This 496-nucleotide ribosomal RNA is filed under the name uncultured bacterium. RNAcentral describes it as "partial 16S ribosomal RNA". It matches the Rfam family "Bacterial small subunit ribosomal RNA", at positions 29 to 507 of the family's 1533-position model. The record is from RNAcentral.